GGGCCGUUAGCUCAGCCGGUAGAGCAGCGGACUUUUAAUCCGUUGGUCGACAGUUCAAAUCUGUCACGGCCCA
Molecule: non-coding RNA, 73 nt
Organism: Gammaproteobacteria bacterium
Lineage: Bacteria; Pseudomonadati; Pseudomonadota; Gammaproteobacteria
Source: Rfam